CCUACGGGGGGCAGCAGUGAGGAAUAUUGGUCAAUGGACGAGAGUCUGAACCAGCCAAGUAGCGUGAAGGAUGACUGCCCUAUGGGUUGUAAACUUCUUUUAUAUGGGAAUAAAAUGUUCCACGUGUGGGAUUUUGUAUGUACCAUAUGAAUAAGGAUCGGCUAACUCCGUGCCAGCAGCCGCGGUAAUACGGAGGAUCCGAGCGUUAUCCGGAUUUAUUGGGUUUAAAGUGAGCGUAGGUGGAUUGUUAAGUCAGUUGUGAAAGUUUGCGGCUCAACCGUAAAAUUGCAGUUGAAACUGGCAGUCUUGAGUACAGUAGAGGUGGGCGGAAUUCGUGGUGUAGCGGUGAAAUGCUUAGAUAUCACGAAGAACUCCGAUUGCGAAGGCAGUUCACUGGACUGCAACUGACACUGAGGCUCGAAAGUGUGGGUAUCAAACAGGAUUAGAUACCCCUGUAGUC
RNAcentral lists this ribosomal RNA (460 nucleotides) under uncultured bacterium. Its description in RNAcentral is "partial 16S ribosomal RNA". It matches the Rfam family "Bacterial small subunit ribosomal RNA", at positions 338 to 795 of the family's 1533-position model. The record is from RNAcentral.